GGCAACUCGUCUUUCGGCUCUCGAGGCAACUCUUCUUGCUCCUGCGGCACUUGUUUCGCCCCCGGGGCACCUUGGCAUUAGGGACAUCCCGGUGUGGCGUGGACCAACAGCCAUCAGACGAGAAGGCAUAGGGAUCCUUGCAGUUGCACACUGCAUAGCAUCGUCACAUUCCAUCACUAGCCUUUAUGAGGACGUCUCCGUUGGUUGUUGCAACUGCUCCCAGGUCUCGACACCCAAUAGACUACGCCAUAAGAUCAAGGUGAUUGUACACAUAUCACUUCGUCACCAUGGGAACAUCAACAUCUGCAAGCAUGGCCACCAACACAGCUUGAGGAUGAUGUGUCUUGCAGGAGUAGAAUAGUGUUAUGGCAAGUGGAGCUGUUUGGAUAGAUAAGAAAAGAAUAUGUUAGAUUGUUUUGGUUAGUUAGGAUAAGAAAAAAUUUGGUUAGUUAGGAUAAGAAAAGAG
Molecule: unclassified non-coding RNA, 466 nt
Filed under: Zea mays
Lineage: Eukaryota; Viridiplantae; Streptophyta; Magnoliopsida; Poales; Poaceae
Description: misc RNA Zm00001eb237450
Source: RNAcentral